CGGAGGAGGAGGCGAGGCAAGACCUGCGGCUCCGCGGGGCUACUGCCGCGGUAGCUCUAGGCAACCCCACGGAGCUACGCCGGUCUCAGUCAUUCCGCGAGCCUCUCGCCGCCUGUCCAUCCUUCCAUCCGCCUAUCCGCCCGACUGGUCUAGGGCGGCCUAGUCUGCAUCAUCUGCCGGGCUUCUGGGGCCGCCGCCCCGCGCGGUCGCAUCGGCGUCCCUGGCCGCGCCCGGCCCCUGGCCCGCUCGCCCGCCGGCACCAUGAUGGAGGAGAUCGACCGGUUCCAGGUGCCCACCGCGCACUCGGAGAUGCAGCCGCUGGAUCCAGCCGCAGCCUCUAUCUCAGACCGAGACUGUGACGCCCGGGAGGAGAAGCAAAGGGAGCUGGCCCGGAAGGGCUCCCUGAAAAACAGCAGCAUGGGCA
This 424-nucleotide long non-coding RNA is filed under the name Rattus norvegicus (Norway rat). RNAcentral describes it as "long non-coding RNA NONRATT023158". The record is from RNAcentral. Lineage: Eukaryota; Metazoa; Chordata; Mammalia; Rodentia; Muridae.